Molecule: long non-coding RNA, 2377 nt
Organism: Brassica napus (rape)
Lineage: Eukaryota; Viridiplantae; Streptophyta; Magnoliopsida; Brassicales; Brassicaceae
Exons: 3
Source: RefSeq, a predicted model, not a curated record
UAGUUAAUGAAGAGUUCAUUAAUAUAAUAUGACAUACCUAGAAAAUUAAAAGAUUCGUAAAAAGUAAAAUUUGUAUAGACAACAAAGAUAAAAGUAAUUUUAUUAAAAAUUAUAUUAUAAUAAACUUAAUAUACAUAAUCCACUCAUAACGCGGAGAAAAUCUCUACUUGUUUCUAUUAAGAAGUUGAAUAGACGACGUUUCAUAAUACCUUUAAAAUAUAUUGAUUUUAUUAUAUUUAUAUUCUUAACUGAAUCAUAUUUACUUCUGACCCACUUAAUAUUUUAUUCUCACACGUACAAUUGUAACUUUUACUUCUGUGUUUCUUUUGUUAACAUUUUAUACAUUUUUUGUGCACCACAUUUCUAUAUAUUUACAAUUAUACAUACAUACAUCCCGAAUUUUUUUGAUUAAUUUUUAUAGCUCAAGUUUUGACUCCCAACAAUUACAGUACACAAUUUUUCAAACUACCAUAAAAUAACAAUAUUUUUGAAAAUAAUAAAAAUAUAGUUUUACGCAUAUGACAUUUACCAUUAUAUUUAUUUAUAGAAACAUAAGUGAACGAGUCUAAAGCUUUCACAUAUUAGAUGAGCAAAAAAAUUGGAACUUUUUCAAAAUUAGAUUCGGUUAAAGCGGAACAUAAUAAAGUGAAUUGCUUAAAUUAGCUAAUUUAGCUAUAUAUAUAUAUAUAUAUGCAUGUUACCAAAACAAAAAUAUAUCGAUGACAAACCAUUCUUUAAAAUCUGACCCUAGUGAAAACGUCGUAUGUUCCUGAAGGAAAGAAAAACAAAUGAAAAAAGAAUAAUUAAUCCCCUAGACAAUAUUUGAGAAUUGAUUUGUCAUGUCUCAUCACCACAAUAGAUUGCUAACAAGAUUUUGGAGUGUAUGAAAUGGGGUUUAGAGAAGAAGGUAUUCUCUAUUACCUUAGACAAUGCUAAUAGCAAUGAUAGCAUGCAGAGGAUCCUCAAAGGACAGCUUCAGAUGAUGAGUGGUUGUGGCUUGUUGUGCAUGUGAGAUGAUGUGUCCACAUUCUGAAUUUGAUAGUGAAAGAAGGUUUAGAAUUGGCGCAGAGUCUGUUACAUGACAUCAUGGAAAGUGUCAGAUAUGUGAAAGCAUCUCAGACAAGAAUUCAAGCAUUUGCAACAUGUGUAGAGCGAGUGGGGAUUAGAAGUGGAGCUGUUUAUUUCUUGAUGUUCCUACUAGAUGGAAUUCUACAUAUGAGAUGCUUGUUAGAGCAUUGAAGUUUAGGGAAGCAUUUAAAAGCUUGGAGGCUUUUGACAGAAACUACAGAUCGCUACCUUCUGAUGCAGAGUGGGAUUGUAGGCAAAAGUAUCUGAAUCCAGAGUAUCCAACAUCUAGUGGGUACAUCACACAAGUUUGGAUGAUUGAGCUAUUGCUGAAACAAUAUGCGAGUUGUGGUGAUUAUGAUUUGGAGCAGAUGGCUAAGGAUAUGCAAGUAUUGGGAGGAGUAUAGCACCGUUUUUUUUUUUUUUUUUUUUUUUGUAUAGCACCAUUUUGGCUAUGGGAGCAAUCUUUAGAUCCAAGGAUGAAGUUGGCAGUUCUUGAGAUAGCUUAUGAGAAAGUGGAUCCUUCUACUUCUAGCUUAAAAACUAAAGAGCUUAAGGAUAUAUAAUUUGACUGAACUUUAUAAAGAGUGUCAAGCUAGGACUUGGGCAGUUCUUCUGGUUCUUCAUAUGCACCAACUUCACAUAAUCUAGUUACUGAAUCUCUUCUUGAAGAUGAUUUAGACAAUAAGUCUUGGGAGUAAUGUAGGAAACACAAGAACACAUUUAGAUGUGUAUCUGGAUGAGACAAGGCUGGAUAGAAAGUCUUUCCGCGACUUGGAUAUACUAAGCUACUAGAAGGAAAACCAAGUUCGAUUUGGUGAUUUGGCGAUGAUGGCGCGUGAUAUACUCAGUAUCUCAAUCACUACAGUAGCAUCUGAGUCAGCUUUUAGCAUUGGAGCUCAGGUGUUGUUGACUCCAUACAUAAGCCGCUUGCUUCCCAAAAAUGUUCAAGCUUUACUCUGUACUCGUAACUGGUUGCGUGGAUUUGCAGAAUAUGAAAGUACAAUAGAAGAUGUUGAUGAUAUGUGCAACUAGGAUGUUAGGAAGACUACAAGUAUUUCUAGAGUAGAGUGUUCAAGAUCAGAAGAUUCAAGUGUGCCCUGACUUUUAGAUUCUCUUUGGUGUUUCAAAAACGACUCUUUGUUAUGUUUGAGAGACAAAAAGUGUUACUUUUAUUACGAUAUUUGUCAUCAUGUUGUUUUGGAUUAUAAUCGUUGAAUACUUGGGCAGUUGAAAUCUUGAUGGAGUAUGUAUUUAACGCAUAGGUAUAAUCACCCAGACGACCAAACGCACUAGUCCAUCAAUUUGUAUU